RNAcentral lists this ribosomal RNA (403 nucleotides) under uncultured bacterium. Its description in RNAcentral is "bacterial SSU rRNA". It matches the Rfam family "Bacterial small subunit ribosomal RNA", at positions 355 to 774 of the family's 1533-position model. The record is from RNAcentral.
UAGGGAAUAUUGCAAAAUGGGCGAAAGCCCGAUGCAGCAACGCCGCGUGGGCGAUGAAGGCCUUCGGGUCGUAAAGCCCUUUUUGAGGGGAUGAGGAAGGACAGUACCCUCAGAAUAAGCCUCGGCUAACUACGUGCCAGCAGCCGCGGUAAAACGUAGGAGGCGAGCGUUAUCCGGAUUCACUGGGUUUAAAGGGUGCGUAGGUGGGCAGAUAAGUCAGUGGUGAAAUCUUCCGGCUUAACCGGGAAACUGCCGUUGAUACUAUUUGUCUUGAAUAUUGCGGAGGUAAGCGGAAUAUGUCAUGUAGCGGUGAAAUGCUUAGAUAUGACAUAGAACACCAAUUGCGAAGGCAGCUUACUACACAAUCAUUGACACUGAGGCACGAAAGCGUGGGUAGCGAACA